Long non-coding RNA from Leptinotarsa decemlineata (Colorado potato beetle), 668 nucleotides. RefSeq lists it as uncharacterized. Lineage: Eukaryota; Metazoa; Arthropoda; Insecta; Coleoptera; Chrysomelidae. The record is from RefSeq and is a predicted model, not a curated record.
CAAGCCCACAGUUCAACCAUAAGGGAGAAAUCUGCCUCUUUUAAACUAUAAGUUUCCCCACGUAGAUGAAAAUUAUUUUCAAAAUUAGUAAUUUUUAUUUUAAAUUCGAUGAUCAAUACUGGAGGACAUUUAUUGGAACUAAAAAUAUUUCAUUCAAAAUUGAAACUUCAAUAGUCUGGAUAUAAAAUCGAGAGAUAUGUUAUCUACCUUUUGAUAUCUGAUUUUUUAUUUCUAGUAGAGAAAUCAACUAUUGGUGAUUGGGCUAUUAAGAUUGAAAAAAAUCACAAUUUGUUCCAGUAAUUAACGGUUCACCUUUUCAACUAAGGCUGAUUUGCUAGGAAUUGCUUCGUUAAUUAACAUUCUUUCAAUACUAGUUUUGGUUUCAUUUUACGGCAGUUUGUUUAACCUUCAGUCGUGCAGCACCCAAAUAGAAACCCUACUCAUUCCACCAGAAGGGCUGAAUCUUGAAUAAUUUUUAAAGUUUUAACUAUCUGCCUUACUUAUAAUGAUUCUACUGCUGCGAUAUAAUAGAAGAGAAGAAACAAACCAAAGUCGUUCUUUAUAAAAUUUUUUGCUUGCUAAAAAUACGACUAGCGAGAUAAAAAAAUAAAUUGAAAGGGGUAUAUUUUUAGGAGAGAUUUAUUUUUGGGAAAUUUUUUUCUUCUUUU